AUACGGAGGAUCCGAGCGUUAUCCGGAUUUAUUGGGUUUAAAGGGUGCGCAGGCGGGAGAUUAAGUCGGCGGGGAAAUUUUGCAGCUCAACUGUAAAAGUGCCUUCGAAACUGGUUUCCUUGAGUGUAGAUGAAGUAGGCGGAAUUUGUGGUGUAGCGGUGAAAUGCAUAGAUAUCACGAGGAACUCCGAUUGCGCAGGCAGCUUACUAAACUACUACUGACGCUCAGGCACGAAGGCGUGGGGAUCAAACAGGAUUAGAUACCCUGGUAGUCCACGCAGUAAACGAUGAUUACUAGCUGUUUGCGAUACAAUGUAAGCGGCUGAGCGAAAGCGUUAAGUAAUCCACCUGGGGAGUACGUUCGCAAGAAUGAAACUCAAAGGAAUUGACGGGG
RNAcentral lists this ribosomal RNA (393 nucleotides) under uncultured bacterium. RNAcentral describes it as "partial 16S ribosomal RNA". It matches the Rfam family "Bacterial small subunit ribosomal RNA", at positions 523 to 918 of the family's 1533-position model. The record is from RNAcentral.